AAUAGAUACCCCGGUAGUCCACGCUGUAAACGUUGGACACUAGGUGUGGCGGUCUGAUCAACGACUGCCGUGCCGAAGCUAACGCAUUAAGUGUCCCGCCUGGGGAGUACGGCCGCAAGGCUAAAACUCAAAGGAAUUGACGGGUCCCCGCACAAGCGGCGGAGCAUGCGGCUUAAUUCGAUGCAACCCGAAGAACCUUACCUGGGUUUGACAUCAUGGGAAAAGCCGUGGAAACACGGUGUCCGUAAGGGCCCAUGACAGGUGGUGCAUGGCUGUCGUCAGCUCGUGUCGUGAGAUGUUGGGUUAAGUCCCGCAACGAGCGCAACCCUCGCGACCAGUUACGUGGGUGUCUGGUCGGACUGCCGGUAGCAAGCCGGAGGAAGGCGGGGAUGAUGUCAAGUCAGCAUGGCCCUUACGUCCUGGGCUACACGCACGCUACAAGUGGGGGGGACAACGGGUAGCCAAACCGCGAGGUGGAGCGAAUCCCCAGUAAACCCCUCCGUCAGUUCAGAUUGUGGGCUGCAACUCGCCCGCAUGAAGGCGG
Molecule: ribosomal RNA, 544 nt
Filed under: uncultured bacterium
Lineage: Bacteria
Description: bacterial SSU rRNA
Rfam family: Bacterial small subunit ribosomal RNA
Source: RNAcentral